RNAcentral lists this ribosomal RNA (531 nucleotides) under uncultured bacterium. RNAcentral's name for it is "bacterial SSU rRNA". It matches the Rfam family "Bacterial small subunit ribosomal RNA", at positions 777 to 1305 of the family's 1533-position model. The record is from RNAcentral.
AAUAGAUACCCUGGUAGUCCACGCCGUAAACGAUGAGUGCUAAGUGUUAGAGGGUUUCCGCCCUUUAGUGCUGCAGCUAACGCAUUAAGCACUCCGCCUGGGGAGUACGGUCGCAAGACUGAAACUCAAAGGAAUUGACGGGGGCCCGCACAAGCGGUGGAGCAUGUGGUUUAAUUCGAAGCAACGCGAAGAACCUUACCAGGUCUUGACAUCCUCUGACAACUCUAGAGAUAGAGCGUUCCCCUUCGGGGGACAGAGUGACAGGUGGUGCAUGGUUGUCGUCAGCUCGUGUCGUGAGAUGUUGGGUUAAGUCCCGCAACGAGCGCAACCCUUGAUCUUAGUUGCCAGCAUUUAGUUGGGCACUCUAAGGUGACUGCCGGUGACAAACCGGAGGAAGGUGGGGAUGACGUCAAAUCAUCAUGCCCCUUAUGACCUGGGCUACACACGUGCUACAAUGGAUGGUACAAAGGGCUGCAAGACCGCGAGGUCAAGCCAAAUCCCAUAAAACCAUUCUCAGUUCGGAUUGUAGGC